GACGAACGCUGGCGGCGUGCUUAACACAUGCAAGUCGAACGGAAAGGCCCUGCUUUUGUGGGGUGCUCGAGUGGCGAACGGGUGAGUAACACGUGAGUAACCUGCCCUUGUCUUUGGGAUAACUUCAGGAAACUGGGGCUAAUACCGGAUAGGAGCUCCUGCUGCAUGGUGGGGGUUGGAAAGUUUCGGCGGUUGGGGAUGGACUCGCGGCUUAUCAGCUUGUUGGUGGGGUAGUGGCUUACCAAGGCUUUGACGGGUAGCCGGCCUGAGAGGGUGACCGGCCACAUUGGGACUGAGAUACGGCCCAGACUCCUACGGGAGGCAGCAGUGGGGAAUAUUGCACAAUGGGCGGAAGCCUGAUGCAGAAACGCCGCGUGCGGGAUGACGGCCUUCGGGUUGUAAACCGAUUUCGCCUGUGACGAAGCGUGAGUGACGGUAAUGGGUAAAGAAGCACCGGCUAACUACGUG
Molecule: ribosomal RNA, 468 nt
Filed under: uncultured bacterium
Lineage: Bacteria
Description: partial 16S ribosomal RNA
Rfam family: Bacterial small subunit ribosomal RNA
Source: RNAcentral